RNAcentral lists this unclassified non-coding RNA (335 nucleotides) under soil metagenome. RNAcentral's name for it is "partial contains 5.8S ribosomal RNA, internal transcribed spacer 2, and large subunit ribosomal RNA". The stretch from base 1 to 120 matches the Rfam family "5.8S ribosomal RNA", at positions 35 to 154 of the family's 154-position model. The record is from RNAcentral.
GAUGAAGAACGUAGCGAAAUGCGAUAAGUAAUGUGAAUUGCAGAAUUCAGUGAAUCAUCGAAUCUUUGAACGCACAUUGCGCCCGCCAGUAUUCUGGCGGGCAUGCCUGUUCGAGCGUCAUUUCAACCAUCAAGCCCCAGGCUUGUGUUGGGGACCUGCGGCUGCCGCAGGCCCUGAAAACCAGUGGCGGGCUCGCUGUCACACCGGGCGUAGUAGAUUUUAUCUCGCUCAGGGCGUGCUGCGGGUUCCGGCCGUUAAACCCCUUUUUUACCCAAGGUUGACCUCGGAUCAGGUAGGAAGACCCGCUGAACUUAAGCAUAUCAAUAAGCGGAGGA